CUAUAGUUAGCGAAUGGAAUACUGACCGCUGAUUGGGCGAGGCAUCUAUCAAUCAAGAUAUACAGGAAGUACAGCAGGCUACGGCAGUGGGAAGUUGAUUAGUUUGUGGAUUAAAAUAUGGCGUUCUGCUAAAUUUCUGCAGUUCAUCUGGAAAAAAUCUGGAGGUUUUAAAAGAGACGAUAUAAAACGACUGCGCCCGUGUCCACCAGUGGUGUGCAGAGCGAGGCUUCGUGGUACACUGAAACAGGACAAGCAAAUGUGCCAUAUUGUCUCGAGGCUUCGAAACAAUCCGACACCCGUCUCCACGGUGACACCUAGUGGUCACUUGCAGGAAGUGUGUGGGGGAGUCGAUGGUGUUUUCAAAUGGUAUGCUGCUGCCUUGGGUUUGAAUCCUGGGUGAAGUGUGCCUGUCCACAUCAUUGUAAUUCGGUGGGAUUUCAUGUCAGAUUAUUAACAAGGCAUCCUGAGGCAAGCACUGAGCAGGGAUCAGUCCAAACACUAUUGAAUAAUUUCAGUUUUAUAAACUUACAUUAUAAAACUGACCGGAGAACAGUUCAAAUUAUUUAUUAAACACUGGUUCAUUGGUUCACCUGGAGAUCAACACAAAGAAGAAGAAGCUGAAAAUGAAGCAAGCAAAUAGCAAGUUGAAGCUGCUGGUGUCUUUGAUGUCUGAACGGCGAGAGCUUAAAAACGCCUACAAGAAUGUUGAUAAGAGGGAGUUGUUGUGGCAAGGAAUUUCCAAAGAAAUAGGAUUCGAUG
Long non-coding RNA from Ictalurus punctatus (channel catfish), 759 nucleotides. The record is from Ensembl. Lineage: Eukaryota; Metazoa; Chordata; Actinopteri; Siluriformes; Ictaluridae.